GAUGAACGCUGGCGGCGUGCUUAACACAUGCAAGUCGAACGGAAAGGCCCAAGCUUGCUUGGGUACUCGAGUGGCGAACGGGUGAGUAACACGUGGGUGAUCUGCCCUGCACUUCGGGAUAAGCCUGGGAAACUGGGUCUAAUACCGGAUAGGACCACUUCUUGGAUGUUGUGGUGGAAAGUUUUUUCGGUGUGGGAUGAGCUCGCGGCCUAUCAGCUUGUUGGUGGGGUAAUGGCCUACCAAGGCGUCGACGGGUAGCCGGCCUGAGAGGGUGUACGGCCACAUUGGGACUGAGAUACGGCCCAGACUCCUACGGGAGGCAGCAGUGGGGAAUAUUGCACAAUGGGCGCAAGCCUGAUGCAGCGACGCCGCGUGGGGGAUGACGGCCUUCGGGCUGUAAACUCCUUUCGCUAGGGACGAAGCGUUUUGUGACGGUACCUGGAGAAGAAGCACCGGCUAACUACGUG
RNAcentral lists this ribosomal RNA (467 nucleotides) under uncultured bacterium. Its description in RNAcentral is "partial 16S ribosomal RNA". It matches the Rfam family "Bacterial small subunit ribosomal RNA", at positions 28 to 507 of the family's 1533-position model. The record is from RNAcentral.